UUCGACGCUGGCGGCGUGCCUAUACAUGCAGUCGAGCGGACUCACAGUUUCCUUCGGGAAACUGUUAGGUUAGCGGCGGACGGGUGAGUAACACGUAGGUAACCUGCCUGUAAGACUGGGAUAACUACCGGAAACGGUAGCUAAUACCGGAUACGCAAGAUCCUCGCAUGAGGGACUUGGGAAAGACGGAGCAAUCUGUCACUUAUGGAUGGGCCUGCGGCGCAUUAGCUAGUUGGUGAGGUAACGGCUCACCAAGGCGACGAUGCGUAGCCAACCUGAGAGGGUGAACGGCCACACUGGGACUGACACACGGCCCAGACUCCUACGGGAGGCAGCAGUAGGGAAUCUUCCGCAAUGGACGAAAGUCUGACAGAGCCACGCCGCGUGAGUGAUGAAGGUUUUCGGAUCGUAAAGCUCUGUUGCCAGGGAAGAACGUCCGAUAGAGUAACUGCUACCGGAGUGACGGUACCUGACAAGAAAGCCCCGGCUAACUACGUGCCAGCACCCGCGGUAAUACGUAGGGGGCAAGCGUUGUCCAGAAUUAUUGGGCGUAAAGCGCGCGCAAGCGGCUAUAUAAGUCUGGUGUUUUAUCCCGGAUCUCACUUCGGGUCGCACUGGAAACUGGGUAGCUUGAGUACAGAAGAGGAGAGUAGAAUUCCACUGUGUAGCCGCGAAAUGCGUAGAGAUGUGAAGAACACCAGUGGCAAACGCGACUCUCUGCGCUGAUACUGACUCUUGAGGCACAAAAGCGGGGGGAACAAAAGGGAUAAAAUACGG
Molecule: ribosomal RNA, 777 nt
Filed under: Paenibacillus sp. Vi5
Lineage: Bacteria; Bacillati; Bacillota; Bacilli; Caryophanales; Paenibacillaceae
Description: bacterial SSU rRNA
Rfam family: Bacterial small subunit ribosomal RNA
Source: RNAcentral